GGAUUAGAUACCCUGGUAGUCCACGCCCUAAACGAUGAACACUUUGUGAGGCGGGUAUCGACCCCUGCCGCGCAGGAGCUAACGCAUUAAGUGAUCCACCUGGGGAGUACGUUCGCAAGAAUGAAACUCAAAGGAAUUGACGGGGGCCCGCACAAGCGGUGGAGUAUGUGGUUUAAUUCGACGCAACGCGAAGAACCUUACCUGGCCUUGACAUCCUUGGAAUCCCUUAGAAAUUUGGGAGUGCCUCCUCACGGAGGAGCCAAGUGACAGGUGCUGCAUGGCUGUCGUCAGCUCGUGUCG
Molecule: ribosomal RNA, 300 nt
Filed under: uncultured bacterium
Lineage: Bacteria
Description: bacterial SSU rRNA
Rfam family: Bacterial small subunit ribosomal RNA
Source: RNAcentral